GUAUACUCUUCUCAAAGGAACUCGUUUUUUAAUCGACACUACUCGCUAAAUCUCACUUUGUUCUUACCGCCUAUAUACCGCCGCUUCAAAAUUAACUUUAAAACCUCUAAUUAUAUUAACCCUUAAAAAAUCAGGUCAAGGUGUAGCUUAUAAUAAAGACAAAAUAAGUUACCAAUAAAACCAAUUUAUAGAACAAUUAUUCUAACUAAAUUAUAAAUAGGAUUUGUAAUCAAUAUUAAAACACUCAUCUAAUAUGAAAUAGUCUAUAUAU
This 271-nucleotide ribosomal RNA is filed under the name Holissus unciger. RNAcentral's name for it is "partial 12S ribosomal RNA". Lineage: Eukaryota; Metazoa; Arthropoda; Arachnida; Araneae; Dysderidae. The record is from RNAcentral.